AUCGCUUCUUGGCCUUUUGGCUAAGAUCAAGUGAAACAUAUACGUAAAGUAUAUUUAUUAUAUUACAUAUUAUGUAUAACUAAAUGCAAGCACAUAUACAUAUGUGUGUGUAUUUAUAUAUACCCACACAUAUGAAA
RNAcentral lists this small nuclear RNA (137 nucleotides) under Rhinolophus ferrumequinum (greater horseshoe bat). RNAcentral describes it as "U2 spliceosomal RNA (ENSRFEG00010004317.1)". It matches the Rfam family "U2 spliceosomal RNA". From Rfam's summary of the family: U2 is a small nuclear RNA (snRNA) component of the spliceosome (involved in pre-mRNA splicing). Lineage: Eukaryota; Metazoa; Chordata; Mammalia; Chiroptera; Rhinolophidae. The record is from RNAcentral.